This 490-nucleotide unclassified non-coding RNA is filed under the name Hevea brasiliensis (rubber tree). The record is from RNAcentral. Lineage: Eukaryota; Viridiplantae; Streptophyta; Magnoliopsida; Malpighiales; Euphorbiaceae.
UCUUUGAGGGUUGAUAUGGGGGUGAUAGUAGGAGUAAGUGGAAAUACUAAAAAUUGCGAUAAUUGUGUAAAUCUGGUGGAAAAGAUCAAGGCAAUCGAAUGUAAUUGUUCCGAUUUGCGGCAGGGGAUUGAACAGGAGAGAAAUGAGCUUGAAGGUAAGUUUGAGGUGUUGAAGAGAAGGAAUCAAGAGUUGGAAGAGCAGAUUCGUCGAAUAGAGAGUAACGGCAGUAAUGAGGAGGAAGAGAGGGUUUUGCAAUGGAUGAUCGAGAACAGUGUACUCGAAUGCGAGAAAAAGAAGGCUGAAAGUGAUGUUGAGUACUGGAAAUCCAACUGUAACGAGCUACAGUUAACAGUGGCGGAAUUGGGAAAAAAGUUGGAUGCAAAUGCAGGAGAUACAGUUUCAACUAGAGUACAUGGAUUGCAAGAUGAAUGUGAUGAUUUAACGCAGAAAAUCCAUCUGCAAGUAGUUGAUGAAAUGCAAAACAAGGAUG